This 492-nucleotide ribosomal RNA is filed under the name uncultured bacterium. RNAcentral's name for it is "partial 16S ribosomal RNA". It matches the Rfam family "Bacterial small subunit ribosomal RNA", at positions 29 to 507 of the family's 1533-position model. The record is from RNAcentral.
AGUGAACGCUGGCGGUAGGCCUAACACAUGCAAGUCGAACGGCAGCACAGUAAGAGCUUGCUCUUACGGGUGGCGAGUGGCGGACGGGUGAGGAAUACAUCGGAAUCUACUUUUUCGUGGGGGAUAACGUAGGGAAACUUACGCUAAUACCGCAUACGACCUACGGGUGAAAGCAGGGGAUCUUCGGACCUUGCGCGAUUGAAUGAGCCGAUGUCGGAUUAGCUAGUUGGCGGGGUAAAGGCCCACCAAGGCGACGAUCCGUAGCUGGUCUGAGAGGAUGAGCAGCCACACUGGAACUGAGACACGGUCCAGACUCCUACGGGAGGCAGCAGUGGGGAAUAUUGGACAAUGGGAGCAAGCCUGAUCCAGCCAUACCGCGUGGGUGAAGAAGGCCUUCGGGUUGUAAAGCCCUUUUGUUGGGAAAGAAAAGCAGCAGGUUAAUACCCCGCUGUUCUGACGGUACCCAAAGAAUAAGCACCGGCUAACUUCGUG